CCCUCCUACAAAGGCAUAUUGGUGGUUUCCUGUCCUUGGACAUGCAAGAAUUGGAGGCAAAGAGAUGUCAACUUGGAGAAGUCUGGAGUCAGCUUGCUCCACGCAGGCUCAAGAUCACCCUUUCCCACAG
RNAcentral lists this small nucleolar RNA (130 nucleotides) under Dasypus novemcinctus (nine-banded armadillo). Its description in RNAcentral is "Small nucleolar RNA SNORA38 (ENSDNOG00000038491.1)". It matches the Rfam family "Small nucleolar RNA SNORA38". Rfam says of the family: ACA38 is a member of the H/ACA class of snoRNA that guide the sites of modification of uridines to pseudouridines. Lineage: Eukaryota; Metazoa; Chordata; Mammalia; Cingulata; Dasypodidae. The record is from RNAcentral.